This 274-nucleotide ribosomal RNA is filed under the name uncultured bacterium. RNAcentral's name for it is "partial 16S ribosomal RNA". It matches the Rfam family "Bacterial small subunit ribosomal RNA", at positions 523 to 796 of the family's 1533-position model. The record is from RNAcentral.
AUACGGAGGGUGCGAGCGUUACUCGGAGUCACUGGGCGUAAAGCGUCCGUAGGCGGUCGGGUAAGUCGGGUGUGAAAGCCCCGGGCUCAACCUGGGAAGUGCACCCGAUACUGCUCGACUCGAGUGCGGGAGAGGAUGGCGGAAUUCCCGGUGUAGCGGUGAAAUGCGUAGAGAUCGGGAGGAACACCAGUGGCGAAGGCGGCCAUCUGGCCCGCAACUGACGCUGAGGGACGAAAGCGUGGGGAGCAAACAGAAUUAGAAACCCGAGUAGUCC